AUGGAGGUCGAGAUCAAGCUCCGUCUCCCCGACGCGGCUGCACACCGGCGCCUCUCCUCCUUCCUCGCGCCCCGCCUGCUCCGCACCGACGCCCCAGCGCGGCCCCUCGCCGCCGCCACCGCCGCCCAGCGGGACGUCCGCCUCUACGGCACCGACGACCGCGACCCCUCCUGCGCCGUCCUCAUGCUCAAGCACCGCCCGCGCAUCGACGCCGGCGUCAGCCGCGUUGAGGAGGUCAUGGAGCCCCUCGACCCCGCCCUCGCCCUCACCUGCGUCGACAACCCCGCCCGUCUCGGCGCGGUCGACUCCCCCAUCGUCCGGCUCGUCUCCGACGAGUACGGCGUCGGCGGGGACAAAGCGCCGUUCGUCUGCCUCGGCGGCUUCCGGAACACCCGCGGUGUGUAUGAGCUCGAGGAGGGCGAGGGGCAGGGGCUCGUGCUAGAGCUCGACGAGACACACUUCGAUUUCGGCACAAACUACGAGCUGGAGUGCGAGACCGCGGAGCCCGACCAGGCCAAGGAGGUCCUGGAGCGGCUGCUCACCGUGGCUGGGGUGCCGUAUGAGUACUCCCGGAGCAAUAAGUUCGCGUGCUUCAUGGCCGGGAAGCUGCUUCCGUGA
RNAcentral lists this ribosomal RNA (618 nucleotides) under Triticum aestivum (bread wheat). RNAcentral describes it as "partial small subunit ribosomal RNA". Lineage: Eukaryota; Viridiplantae; Streptophyta; Magnoliopsida; Poales; Poaceae. The record is from RNAcentral.